Molecule: long non-coding RNA, 225 nt
Filed under: Elaeis guineensis (African oil palm)
Lineage: Eukaryota; Viridiplantae; Streptophyta; Magnoliopsida; Arecales; Arecaceae
Description: long non-coding RNA (EGUI_LNC024236)
Source: RNAcentral
CCUAUACAUCUCAUGCUGAUCCAUACUAAUGUUUUUGAAAAAAAAAGAAAUCAUAAUCCAAAAAAAUAUAUAAUCACCAUUAAAUUAAAUAAAAAAUGGAAGUAAAAAGCAAAAUUCUCAUUGCUUCCAUACUUUUUUUUCAUCAAUUUUUUUUCUCACCAUGACCUUUUUAUGACAAAUCGAAAUAUCAUAAAAGUUACCCCAACCAACCAAUAUCAAUACCAC